AUGCCGAUCUCUUUUGCAGCCCAAUAACCUUCGACCCGGUCCAACCCACCACCAUCUCCUCUUCUUAACUGUAAACAACAUCGCCAAACACACCACCAGUGAACAACAAAACACCAAAAAUAGCAAAACCUGACCCAGCUUGACUCCGACAACUAAUGACACCCAACAUCGACAGAACCCGACUAGUUCACUGAUUCAACGACAGCGAACCCAUUAACCCGAAGUCACCCCAUGAUUACAGCGACAACGAAUCGUUCGACCACAACAGCUCAGCAUCAAACUGUUUUGUAAGAUUUUCGUACAAUUCUACAGCUCAUCCCUAUCCUCCUCAACUUCAAAUUCAAAUUUCUCCUUUAAAAAAUCCAAAAAUACCUUUGUUUUUUCAUUUUCCGCCCACAUCGGUGGAAAUAUAAUUGGGUUCCCAAAAUUCAUCGUAUAAAUAGCUCAUUUGGGAGAAAAAACAACCAAGUCUUGAAGGUUGGAAAAAAUACUUUCAAGCAAAGAGUUAUUUUCUAGGAAACAAUUUUUUUUGCGAAAAGUAGUCCACUACUCAGAGUCAUCGGAAUCGCAUCAAAGCUUUUCGGUGGUGGUUGAACUUCCUUCACAGGCUUGAGUCCUGUUUUGCUGCUCCAAAAUAGCCCGCUUUCGAGUUCAAAUGGACUAUUUCCCAUUGUUGCAUUAUCGAUAUGGACCAUUGAGGUCCAUCCCUCCCAAGUCAAUUUUGAAGGCCCAAAAAGACAAUCAUAUUACAUACGGAUGCGAGAAGAUGGAAGAAGCAGAAAUGGGUAGAAACCCAUUGACAAUGUGGCUAAAAGAAUUGAAAAUCUCGUGACAUUUUAUUAUUAUCAUUAUACUAUUAUUAUUGUUUUGCUUGUCUUAUUUCAUUCAGUUAUUUAUUUAUUCAUUCA
Molecule: long non-coding RNA, 908 nt
Organism: Capsicum annuum
Lineage: Eukaryota; Viridiplantae; Streptophyta; Magnoliopsida; Solanales; Solanaceae
Exons: 2
Source: RefSeq, a predicted model, not a curated record